RNAcentral lists this ribosomal RNA (253 nucleotides) under uncultured bacterium. Its description in RNAcentral is "partial 16S ribosomal RNA". It matches the Rfam family "Bacterial small subunit ribosomal RNA", at positions 524 to 776 of the family's 1533-position model. The record is from RNAcentral.
GACGGAGGAUGCAAGUGUUAUCCGGAAUCACUGGGCGUAAAGAGCUUGUAGGCGGUUUGUCGCGUCUGCUGUGAAAAUCCGGGGCUCAACCCCGGACUUGCAGUGGGUACGGGCAGACUAGAGUGUGGUAGGGGAGACUGGAAUUCCUGGUGUAGCGGUGGAAUGCGCAGAUAUCAGGAGGAACACCGAUGGCGAAGGCAGGUCUCUGGGCCAUUACUGACGCUGAGAAGCGAAAGCAUGGGGAGCAAACAGG